This 2244-nucleotide long non-coding RNA is filed under the name Sus scrofa (pig). RNAcentral describes it as "lncRNA (ENSSSCG00000051450.1)". The record is from RNAcentral. Lineage: Eukaryota; Metazoa; Chordata; Mammalia; Artiodactyla; Suidae.
CUGAAUAAUGUCUGUUAUAUGGAUAAUACCACAGUUUGUUUACCUGUUCCUAAGUUGAUGGACAUUUGGCUUGUCCUCACUCUGGGGCUGUUGCGUAGAGUAUGUUAGCUGCCCGGUUUGGAUUCACACCAGCCACUUCCUGGAAGGCAGCCCGCAACGCACUGGUGGCCACGUCCCUCACAGGCUGAGCCAGACCAAUGCUCCUCCCUGGGGACUUAGGCUCCAGACCCAGUGUCCAGAUCCCCUGGGUCCUGACCCCCUCAGACACCAGCUCUUCCAGUGAAUCGGAGUCUCUAUUCUUUCCCCAUCAGCCUCAGACUUCCCCACCCUCCCUCCAUCAGACAUGCUCUGAUAACACUGACCUUCAAAGCAAAACAGCAGAGUCCCAGCCACUCUCUCCGCUUCCUGGGCAUCUCUGUAAAUUGGUCCGUCGACUCGCAUCUCCCAGGUGGAGGCAUCUCCUAAUUUCCCCCACCGACCGCAUCGAAGCCCCAUGGCUUUGCCCAGCCCAAAGGGUUCUGCCGAGUUCCCCCCACUUCCAUUGGCAUAAUCUUUGGGAGGUUACCUUAUACCUCUGUACCUUGCACCCUGACCUCAAAGGAGACCUCAGAAGAAAUUCCAGUUUCCAUCCCCCAACAAAGAAAGGGUUCCAGCCCCUAAUCUUGGGUUGGUCCAGUUCACUAGUCUUAAGAUCUGGCCUCCUGGAGUUCCUCUUGUGGCUCAGCAGGUUAAGAACCUGACUAGUAUCUGUGAGGAUGGGGGUUUGAUCCCUGGCCUCAUUCAGUGGGGUAAGGAUCGGAUGUUGCUGCAAACUGCAGCUUAGGUUGCAGAUGUGACUCAGACACUGCAUUGCUGUGGCUGUGGUGUAGGCCAGCAGCUGCGGCUCCAAUUUAACCAUAUGCCACAGGUGCAGCCCUAAAAAAAAAGAAAAGAAAAAAAUAUCUGGCCUCCUGGACUGGCCCACGGGAGCUGUCACACUUCUCUGUAAUGUGAUGGUAUGAGUUCAAGGGGAGACCAUCUCAGGGUGGAGGAAGCUGGGACUGUCCCCAAAACUGGGGAGACCGUAGCCUUGACUUUUGCAAAGUCAUUUCACCAGAGGAGUUCUGGUUGUGGCUCAGUGGAAACGAGUCUGACUAGCAUCUAUGAGGAUGCAGGUUUGAUCCCUGGCCUUGCUCAGUGGGUUAAGGAUCCGGCGUUGCCGUGAGCUGUGGUGUAGGUCGCAGACGAGGCUUGGAUCCAGCUGUUACUGUUGUGGUGGUAGUGCAGGCUGGCAGCUGCAGCUCCAAUUCAACCCUAGCCUGGGAACCUCCAUAUGCCGCGGGUGCAGCCCUUAAAAAAAAAAUUUAAAAAUAAAAAAUAAAAAAAGGAUACGUUUCAGUGGCAUUUAGUACUUUCACAUUAUUGUACAAUCACCACCUAUAUCUAAUUCUAAAAUAUUUUCACCACCCAAAAGGAAACCCUGUCCCUGCCUCUCCUGCCUGCAGUCUCUGACAGACACUGAUGUACGUUCUGUCUCUAUGGAGUUGCCCCUCCUGGACACUUCACGAAAACAGCAUCACACAGCAUGUGACCCUUUGUGCCUGGCUCUUUUCACUAAGCCUAAUGUUUUCAAGGUCCAUCCGUGUUGAAGCACGUGUCAGUCUUUUGUUCCCCUUUAAGACGGGGCACGAUUGCAUUGUGUAGACAGACCGCGUUUGUUUAUCCACGGUUGUUAUGUUUAUGGAAGAUCUGAGCUGAGCUAAAACUUGCCCUGAGCCUCUCCAGGAAACAAGGUAGACCUCAGCACACGCUUGUUCCGGCUGAUGUUUUUGCCUCACCAAUAAAACAGUAGCAUGUUCUCAUGGUAAAACAAACAAAACUCAAAGCUACGCAUCCAGCGCUGAAACACCGGGGUUCUGAGCGUGCUCCUACAGUUAGAAGCACAGCUAGACGAGCAUAUGGGGCAGGGAGCCAGCCUGGCCAUUGCUGGUUGGCAUGUUUAACCCCUCCUCCACUGGCACCUUGUCCCCACCUAGAAACAUCCCCAGGCCUCCCUCUGAUUAGAACAAUGACACAAAUUUCCUCUGGCACCUACCACUUCCUCGGCUCACCACCAUGCUUCAUCACCACAAUUUUCUCGGCUUCCUCACACCCGCUCGUUGGUGAAUCCCUCUCAGUCUGGCUCCCAUGCCUGCAGCUCUCUGAAAGCCACUGCUGUCCCCAGCCACCACAUCCCGAGCGUGGCUGCAACCUCUCCCAACCUUC